RNAcentral lists this long non-coding RNA (1747 nucleotides) under Manihot esculenta (cassava). RNAcentral describes it as "long non-coding RNA (MESC_LNC000360)". Lineage: Eukaryota; Viridiplantae; Streptophyta; Magnoliopsida; Malpighiales; Euphorbiaceae. The record is from RNAcentral.
CAGUAUAUGACAGUACAUAUCAAUACAUUACAAUUAAUCUUUUAAUUACAUCAUGUCCACUAUUCUAUUACAACCAUACAUUCAUGCAUAUCCUUCCUCUUUACUCUUGCUGACUUUGACUUCUCACAGCUAAUCUCAGAACCUGCAAAACUGGGGUUAAGGGAGUGGGAUGAGCUACUACAGCCCAGUGAGGAGGAACAAUAAAACAAUUCAUUCAUUAUAUGCUCUCAUGGAAUGCAUCACAUCACAAACAUAUCAUCAAAAGGAUGAACUUGUCACCAAUAGCCCGCUACAUACAUAAUAGUAUGUCCGACUGUGCCAGGGGCGAUUAGGCCACACCUGGACUUCUCUUAACUGACUCAUAUCAUAACAUGUCCCACUGUGCCAGGGGCGAUUAGGCCAUCACCUGGACUUCUCUUUUCUCUGAUCUGACAGCCCGGCUGUCUAACUCAUAGUACCAGGAGCGACCUGGACUAUCCAGGAGCGACCUGGUAUGGCUAUCUCAUGCCAUAUCUCAUAUGCUCUCAUGGUGUCUCAACUGAUAUCAAGGGCUAUGGAUCAUUCAACAUUCAUCCACACAAAUAUCAUCUUAUGCAAUGCAGCAUAUUCGUGGAUUCUAAUGCAACACAACCUAAUACAUAACAUGGUAUUUUAUGAUGCAUGAAAUAUGCUAGAAGUGUGUCAUUUCUCAAUGUAAAAUCUUCAGUUUAGUUCCACUCACCUGUAGCCUCUGCUUGGCUAACUCUGGGCUAACUAGCUGGACCAAUUCUAACUCUGAAGCAGCUACUACUGCUAAAUACCUCGUUUCCUCGGGUCCAACCCUACAAUGAAGGACUCAAAUGAGGUACCAAACAUACUCUAUAUCACUGAUAAACAUCUCCCCAAAACCCCUCUAAAAUACCUCAAAACAAGCAUGCAAAACAAGCAAAGGAAGGCUGGACAGGGCACCUUCGGCAGCACCUUCGGCGGCCGAAUGUCUCCUUCAGAGACGAAAGUCAGGCAUGUUCGGCGGCCUAACUUGGACUUUCGGCGGCCGAACCUGAGUUCAUCCAGAACUCAGUUUCGUGCACAAGGACGCCUGCCAGUCCCUUCAUCACCUGCUCAGCCCUCAAUACAUGCAUUUAACCCCUCUAAAACAUGCAUAAACACUUGAACAAACAUAAAGGAGCUUAAAACAACUUAAACUCCAACAAAACAACUAACACAACAUAUAAUCAUGCUUUCACCAUCAAAACAUCAAAACUAACCUAAGCAUGCAACUCAUGCAUACACUUCCAUAACCUCUUUAAAAAGCUGUUAAAACUCAUUAAAACAAACUUAAAGACGUCCCUUACCUCCUGAAAUCAGAAGAGGAACAAGCAAACACAGCAACUCCUCCUCCAAAGCUUCAAACCCUCACAACUCUUCUUUUCUCUCAAAAACAUUCAACUCACUCAAAUCACGACCAACCUUCUGCCUAAGCUGAUAAAAGCUUGCAGAUGAGUCAUGGGAGACGUGGCCUAACCUCUGGUCAUGAUCUGGAGGUGAACACCUGGCCAAACCACGGACUGAGGAGCAUGCACAACUAACCGACCACCUCAGCUUCGGCUGCCGAAACUGCAUGCAAAACCAUGCAACUUUCGGGGGCCGAACAUCACCUUCGGGGGCCGAACAUUGGGCACUUUCGGGGGCCGAACUUAACCUUCGGGGGCCGAACAUGACAGAAACUCCUUUGGCCAAUUCUCCACAAAACUCAAUUCGUUUUCAC